UACGAAGGGUGCAAACGUUGCUCGGAAUUAUUGGGCGUAAAGCGCACGUAGGCGGCUCUGCAAGUCGGAUGUGAAAGCCCACGGCUCAACCGUGGAAGUGCAUUCGAAAACUGCAGGGCUAGAGUCCUGGAGAGGAAGGUGGAAUGCUUGGUGUAGAGGUGAAAUGCGUAGAUAUCGGGAGGAACACCAGUGGCGAAGGCGGCGAUCUGGGAAGAUACUGACGCUGAGGUGCGAAAGCGUGGGGAGCAAACAGG
Molecule: ribosomal RNA, 254 nt
Filed under: uncultured bacterium
Lineage: Bacteria
Description: partial 16S ribosomal RNA
Rfam family: Bacterial small subunit ribosomal RNA
Source: RNAcentral